Molecule: ribosomal RNA, 300 nt
Filed under: uncultured Mariniphaga sp.
Lineage: Bacteria; Pseudomonadati; Bacteroidota; Bacteroidia; Marinilabiliales; Prolixibacteraceae
Description: bacterial SSU rRNA
Rfam family: Bacterial small subunit ribosomal RNA (bases 53-300)
Source: RNAcentral
GGUCACAUGUGGCGCGGAGCCGGGGUAGCGGGAUGGGUGGAAGUGUUAAGCGGGAUUCAGGGGGGGAAAGCGCGCGUAGGUGGUUCAGCAAGUUGGAAGUGAAAGCCCCGGGCGCAACAUGUGAACUGCCUGCAAAACUAGUGAGCUAGAGUACGGUAGGAGGUAGUGGAAUUGCCUGUGGAGCGGUGAAAUGCGUAGAGAGAGGAAGGAACACCAGUGGCGAAGGCGACUACCUGGACUGAUACUGACACUGAGGUGCGAAAGCGUGGGGAGCAAACAGGAUUAGAUACCCCAGUAGUC